AGAUUAAUUUAGUUAUGUUUAAAUCCAUUUUAUUUAGAACCUUUCAUAAAAGAAAUAUUGGUGAUGUAUUCAGAUUUUUACAAGCUUUCCAAUGAAUUUCGUAUCCUUAGUAUAGGGUACCUGUCAGCAUUAGUGUAGCUGUUCAGUGCUCUGAGAUUUCGUCAAAAUUUAAAUUUUCCUUCAUUUGAAAUGAUGAGGGAAGGUGUGGUUACUUCUACGCUUUAGUUAUUUUUAUCUUUCUGAUGAAAUCCAUAUGUAGGAGUUCAAUCACAUAUUUUUGAAUUUCCUUCCUACUUUCCAAGGUUUUUUGGAAUGGAUCUCUUGUCAGAAUGGGUAUAGAAGGUCUUUUCACAUCCAGGUAUAAGUUUCACCAUGGUGAAUGUUACGUAAAUUGUUGGAAAUUGACUUCACGUCAAGAAAACGUCAAGCAGGAUAAUAGUCAACCACCUGAUUGUCCUGAAACCAUCAGAAGGCUUGUAGAAAUUCCACAAGACCUGCUGGUUUGCACACACAUGCAACAAAGAGGUCCUUCAGCCAGUGUUAAUGUAGAGAAGGGGUUUGUGACUUCCCAGGUCAUCCAUGAAAGGACUCCACCUCAGCACGAUUGAAAUUUUAUGGGUGAAAUUGGUAGAGCCCACCCCAUAGUACCACGGGUGAGGGUGUGUGUGUGAGGCACACACCAAGGCCAAAUGAUGUGUUGUCCUAAUUUUGUGUACAUAAAUGAGCUCAGCAUAAGCAGGUGACAUGGUUGGAGCCCGCUUGAAAAUGCAGCAGCUGUGAAACAUGUGGAACCAACCCCAGAAGGUGGGGGUGCAGUUGCAUUUGUGUGUGUGCAUGCAGUUGUGGUUGCAUUUAUGUGUGUGGGUGGGGUGGAAGGGGCAGGUGCGUAAGUGUGAGACAUGCGCAAGAAGCCAAGAGCAUGUGCAGGUUUGUAAGCCCUGAAAAUGGAUGGUGCUUAAGUGUAUUACCUAUACCUUGCCAUUAAUAUUAUUUAAAAUAUUAAUGGGUAGGCAGGUGUGGGGGUUUUGUAUUGAAGGUUUAGCAGUGAUUCUCAGUGAAACAGCCUCUAGUGCAGAUCUUCGUGGAAGUAGCAAAUAUUCAAGUGAGAACCUUGAACACUGAAGUGGUGAAGGGUUCCAUGGUCAAAGUAGUUGGACAUAGUUUAGUCAGUCCUGAAAGAUAGGGAAAGUCUGUUUUAAAGUAUGCUUUUGUUAGCAUCACCUAUUGAAAGGGAAUGUAGUUAAAAUGACCAACUGGGAUACAGAUUUUGAAUGGUAACAUAUAAGAACUUGGUGACAUCUAAAAGGGCCCCAGGAAGAGUUUUCUUUUCUCAUUAAUAAUCUGAAACCCUGGAAGCAAAUUAUUUGGAGAUAGGUCUUAAUUAUUGGUAGAGAUUUACACCUUUGUAAAGUCUGGGGUGUCCUUGAGGAUCCUUGAAAAAUCAAGGGAUUUACAAAGUCUUGUACCCAACUGUACCAAUAUUGGCAUCAAGUCCCCAAGGUGAUCAGCCUCUGGUAAAUAGAAUAAUGUAGAUAAGGGAAGUUGGCAAAAUAGAUCCGUAACUUAGGGAAAAGGAUUGGAUCAUAGGGCAGGGAUUGUUGGGCCCUUAAUAGAUCUUUAAGGAUCUGACUAGGACUACUACUAGGAAACUUGUAGCGGACUUUGAAGGAGCUUUAUUGUGAUGUUUUGGGCAGCCUUUAAAAUUGUCUGGCAAGCAAUUAACUGUCAUCUAUUAACUGGAACAGACAAGGGGAAUCUGACUGUCUAAUUAAAACAUAGCAGUGUGAUGGCUAGAAAAUGGUGUUGACACAAAGUUAUUUCUUCCCAGUUCUCUGAAUAUCAAAGUGAAGAAAUUCAACCAAGCGUGGGUAAAUGGUGGGAGUAACUAUGACUCUCUUAAGGUAGCCAAAUGCCUUGUCAUCUAAUUAGUGACGCCCAUCAGUGGAUUAAUGAGAUUCCCACUUUCAUUAUCUACUAUAUAGAAAAACCACAGCCAAGGUAACGGGCUUGAAAGAAUCAGCGGGGAAAGAAGACCCUGUUGAGCUUGACUCUAGUUUGAUAUUGCAAAAAGACAUAGAGGUUGUAGAAUAAGUGGGAGCAUAAUCGCCAGUGAAAUAACACUACCUUUAUUGUCUUUUUACUUAUUCAAUGAAGCAAAGCUGGGAUUAACAUCCCAAUUUUUAGAAUUAAGGUCUUUUAUAGGCCAAUUGGGGUUGAAGACACUGUAAGGUGGGUAGUUUGGCUAGGGCAGCACAUCUGUUAAAUAAUAAUGCAGGUGUCCUAAGGGGGACUUAUUGAGAACAGAAAUCUCAAGUAGAACAAAAGGGUAAAAGU
RNAcentral lists this ribosomal RNA (2334 nucleotides) under Austropuccinia psidii. RNAcentral describes it as "eukaryotic LSU rRNA". The stretch from base 699 to 2334 matches the Rfam family "Eukaryotic large subunit ribosomal RNA", at positions 1 to 2716 of the family's 3401-position model. The record is from RNAcentral. Lineage: Eukaryota; Fungi; Basidiomycota; Pucciniomycetes; Pucciniales; Sphaerophragmiaceae.